This is a long non-coding RNA of Oncorhynchus tshawytscha (Chinook salmon), 867 nucleotides long. The record is from Ensembl. NCBI's taxonomy places the organism in Eukaryota, Metazoa, Chordata, Actinopteri, Salmoniformes, Salmonidae.
UCCAUACAUCCCUCCCUCCAUACUGCCAUCAUUCUGUCUAUCCCACCAUACUGCCAUCAUUCCAUACAUCCCUCCCUCCAUCUCUCAGUCCAUUGAGCGUCUCCAUGAUAUCAGGGUCUUCUGUGUGAUGUUCUGUAUGUGCUGAUAUUGUGUAUAUAUAAUAUUAAUUAAUGUAGAUGAACACACACAGAUAAACUACAUGACCAAAAGUAUGUGGACACCUGCUCAUCGAACAUCUCAUUCCAAACUCAUAGGCAUUAAUAUGGAGUUUGUCCCCCCUUUGCUGCUAUAACAGCCUCCACUCUUCUGGGAAGGCUUUCUACUAGAUGUUGGUACAUUGCUGCUGGGACUUGCUUCCAUUCAGCCACAAGAGCAUUAUUGCGGACAGGCACUGAUGUUGGGUGAUUAGACCUGGCUCGCAUUCGCCUUUCCAAUUCAUCCCAAGGUGUUCGAUGGGGUUGAGGUCAGGGCUCUAUGAAGGCCAGUCAAGUUCUUCCACAUUGAUCUCGACAAACCAUUUCUGUAUGGACCUCACUUUGUGGAUGAGGGCAUUGCCAUGCUGAAACAUGAAAGGGCCUUCUCCAACCUGUUGCCACAAAGUUGGAAACACAGAAUCGUCUUGAAUGUCAAUGUCAAGAUUUCCCUUCACAGGAACUAGCCCGAACCAUAAAAAACAGCCCCAGUCCAUUAUUCCUCUUCCACCGAACUUUACAGUUGGCACUGUGCAUUCAGGCAGGUGGUGUUCUCCUGGCACACCCCAAACACAGAUUCAGAUUCACCAAAUGGUGAAGCGUUAUUCAUGACUCCAGAGAACACGUUUCCACUGCUCCAGAGGCCAAUGGUGGUGAGCUUUACACCACUGCAGCU